AAUUAAACUGUGAUGGUUUCGCUUUGUAAUGUCUACAAAGCCACGAAAGCAUUGGGGUGUCUUGCCAGGACUCCACUGGAUGCAUAUGUGCAAGAAAUCAUCAUCUAUGCAGAGCUUCAAUACUGGGAGUGCUGCAGAAUAGAAGACAAUUCCUGUUUUAAGUGCAUUAAGGAUGUGCGCUGCCCUAGGAGGCCAACAAGCCAGCUGCAAGCAGGAAAAUCCGAGAAAACACAAGCCCUUAUCAAAGCCUCAUGGCUGCCAUGGCUGUGGGGCUCUUGGAGAUCGAGGACUUACUGUAAAGCACAGGCCAGUGCUGCUGGGUUCCAUCACGUGUUCUCCUUCUUUGUAUUAUUGACCAUGAAGACAGUUGUGACAUUCCAGCUCCAUUAGUACCUGGUGCAUUACUUUCUAGCUUUGCUUGGGAGGACGGAGAUGGAAUGGAGAUUACAGAGGAGAGGUGUUUGGUCAGAACGUUGGGACUGAGGCGCAGCAUCUAUCUCUAUCUCUAUCUCUAUCUCUACCUCUCCAGGAAAAGAGGGUCAUAUAGGGCUGCCAACAGGAUACUUGUAAGCAUCCUACAGGAAAAAAAGCUUAGUAAACUCCGAAGUGGGUUUUCUUUAAAGCAAGAAAGUUUUGGAAACCUGAGGAUUUUUCUAGAAUUAGCAUCACAUACGCAAAAUGAAAUUCUUUCCCUGGGGCACAGCACCAGCUUACUAUAAUUAACUAAGAACUGCGAACUGCAAGCUGCUGAGAAGCCACAGGGUACUACUACCAGACCCAGACGUUAAAUAUCCAGAGAAAAUUUAAGCAGUGCUAAUAGCAGUUGUGGAAGCUGAGAGAGUUGCUUUACUUGUGCCUAAGUGUUUAUAAUUUAUUAGUUAUCUUUCCUAUACUGCAUCAUUUAAAAUGUGCAUAAAUGUUAGUUACUCAUGAAUUGAUGACAUUAAUGUUUUGUUACUUUAAUGGGAUUAUAUUUAAUUAAUUAAUUAAUUUUUAUAUUACUGGGGAUUGAACUCAGGGCCUUUUUAUUUUGGGACAGAAUCUCUGUAAAUUGCUAAAUUGCC
RNAcentral lists this long non-coding RNA (1064 nucleotides) under Chinchilla lanigera (long-tailed chinchilla). RNAcentral's name for it is "lncRNA (ENSCLAG00000024884.1)". Lineage: Eukaryota; Metazoa; Chordata; Mammalia; Rodentia; Chinchillidae. The record is from RNAcentral.